Mesocricetus auratus (golden hamster) is the source of this 106-nucleotide non-coding RNA. NCBI's taxonomy places the organism in Eukaryota, Metazoa, Chordata, Mammalia, Rodentia, Cricetidae. The record is from Rfam.
UUUUUUUCAGUAGCACAUAUACUAAAAUUGGAACAAUAAAGAGAAGAUUAGCAUGGCCCCUGCGCAAGUAUAUUUUUUAAAUGAAAGAGAACAUUAAAUGGAUCUU